UUCUGGAACUUGGUGUGGUAGUUUUGGGCAUGCCUAAUAGGCUUCCUGUAGCUGGACUAAAACUCCAUUGAGUCAGGGCAAGUAGUCAAGGCAGCUGUGUGGUGGCUAGAAAAAGCUCAGCCACAGUAACAGAAAGCAAGCUGUUUUCCCCCAACUCUGAAGCAUUUUGCAGCAGUGCUUUUGACUCAUGAGACUAUAUGGAGUUGAUAAACAAGGACUGUAACUAAGACUCUCAACCUAAGCUUUUGGACCUCUCAGGUAAAUGAUCCACAUCAUGAAAAAUUACACAGUCCCAGGCAACAUCCUUCAUAGCCUCUUUGAAGCCAACAUUAAAGAGCAUUGCACGGUUAAAAGGUUGUGUACCACUCUUUAUGCGGAAACAAAGGAGAAACCGAAUGAGGCAAGAGCAAGUAGAUGCUACUUUGAUAUACAGGAAAUUUACCAGCCCCCCCUUGUACUAGAAAGAAAAAGGUAUGAGGUGCCGGAAAAAAAUUGGAAGAUGUUCAUGGCGAUUGCGAAAAGGAAUGAGGAUUGCCACCUGCAAAAUAAGUCAGAUUAGAGAGAGUAAUGUUAAGAUGAUAUGAGUAUUUUAAAAUCAUAAUGGGUUAAAUUAAAUCUGUUGUUAUGGA
Molecule: long non-coding RNA, 629 nt
Organism: Mauremys reevesii (Reeves's turtle)
Lineage: Eukaryota; Metazoa; Chordata; Testudines; Geoemydidae
Exons: 4
Source: RefSeq, a predicted model, not a curated record